UGGGAAUAUUGCACAAUGGGGGAAACCGUCGAUGCAGCGACGCCGCGUGAGCGAAGAAGUAUUUCGGUAUGUAAAGCUCUAUCAGCAGGGAAGAAGAAAUGACGGUACCUGACUAAGAAGCCCCGGCUAACUACGUGCCAGCAGCCGCGGUAAUACGUAGGGGGCAAGCGUUAUCCGGAUUUACUGGGUGUAAAGGGAGCGUAGACGGUGAUGCAAGUCUGAAGUGAAAGCCCGCGGCUCAACUGCGGGACUGCUUUGGAAACUGUGUGACUAGAGUGCAGGAGAGGUAAGUGGAAUUCCUAGUGUAGCGGUGAAAUGCGUAGAUAUUAGGAGGAACACCAGCGGCGAAGGCGGCUUACUGGACUGUAACUGACGUUGAGGCUCGAAAGCGUGGGGAGCAAACAGGAUUAGAUACCCUGGUAGU
RNAcentral lists this ribosomal RNA (424 nucleotides) under uncultured Clostridium sp. RNAcentral describes it as "bacterial SSU rRNA". It matches the Rfam family "Bacterial small subunit ribosomal RNA", at positions 356 to 794 of the family's 1533-position model. Lineage: Bacteria; Bacillati; Bacillota; Clostridia; Eubacteriales; Clostridiaceae. The record is from RNAcentral.